RNAcentral lists this ribosomal RNA (254 nucleotides) under uncultured bacterium. RNAcentral's name for it is "partial 16S ribosomal RNA". It matches the Rfam family "Bacterial small subunit ribosomal RNA", at positions 524 to 776 of the family's 1533-position model. The record is from RNAcentral.
UACAUAGGCAGCGAGCGUUGUUCGGAUUUACUGGGCGUAAAGGGCGCGUAGGCGGCAAUUCAAGUCAUCUGUGAAAUCUCCGGGCUUAACCCGGAACGGUCAGAUGAUACUGCUUUGCUAGAGUGCGGAAGGGGCAAUCGGAAUUCUUGGUGUAGCGGUGAAAUGCGUAGAUAUCAAGAGGAACACCUGAGGUGAAGACGGGUUGCUGGGCCGACACUGACGCUGAUAGCGCGAAAGCCAGGGGAGCAAACGGG